UGGGGGAUCGUCUAGUGGUAGGACGACAGUCUCUGAAUCUGUCUACGGAGGUUCGAUCCCUCCUCCCCCAGCCA
RNAcentral lists this transfer RNA (74 nucleotides) under Nitrospirota bacterium. Its description in RNAcentral is "tRNA-Gln". It matches the Rfam family "tRNA". Rfam says of the family: Transfer RNA (tRNA) molecules are approximately 80 nucleotides in length. Their secondary structure includes four short double-helical elements and three loops (D, anti-codon, and T loops). RNAcentral also lists the same sequence under 1 other name. Lineage: Bacteria; Pseudomonadati; Nitrospirota. The record is from RNAcentral.